CAGGAUGAACGCUAGCUACAGGCUUAACACAUGCAAGUCGAGGGGCAGCAUGGUCUUAGCUUGCUAAGGCCGAUGGCGACCGGCGCACGGGUGAGUAACACGUAUCCAACCUGCCGUCUACUCUUGGACAGCCUUCUGAAAGGAAGAUUAAUACAAGAUGGCAUCAUGAGUCCGCAUGUUCACAUGAUUAAAGGUAUUCCGGUAGACGAUGGGGAUGCGUUCCAUUAGAUAGUAGGCGGGGUAACGGCCCACCUAGUCUUCGAUGGAUAGGGGUUCUGAGAGGAAGGUCCCCCACAUUGGAACUGAGACACGGUCCAAACUCCUACGGGAGGCAGCAGUGAGGAAUAUUGGUCAAUGGGCGAGAGCCUGAACCAGCCAAGUAGCGUGAAGGAUGACUGCCCUAUGGGUUGUAAACUUCUUUUAUAAAGGAAUAAAGUCGGGUAUGGAUACCCGUUUGCAUGUACUUUAUGAAUAAGGAUCGGCUAACUCCGUGCCAGCAGCCGCGGUAAUACGGAGGAUCCGAGCGUUAUCCGGAUUUAUUGGGUUUAAAGGGAGCGUAGAUGGAUGUUUAAGUCAGUUGUGAAAGUUUGCGGCUCAACCGUAAAAUUGCAGUUGAUACUGGAUAUCUUGAGUGCAGUUGAGGCAGGCGGAAUUCGUGGUGUAGCGGUGAAAUGCUUAGAUAUCACGAAGAACUCCGAUUGCGAAGGCAGCCUGCUAAGCUGCAACUGACAUUGAGGCUCGAAAGUGUGGGUAUCAAACAGGAUUAGAUACCCUGGUAGUCCACACGGUAAACGAUGAAUACUCGCUGUUUGCGAUAUACUGCAAGCGGCCAAGCGAAAGCGUUAAGUAUUCCACCUGGGGAGUACGCCGGCAACGGUGAAACUCAAAGGAAUUGACGGGGGCCCGCACAAGCGGAGGAACAUGUGGUUUAAUUCGAUGAUACGCGAGGAACCUUACCCGGGCUUAAAUUGCAGAUGAAUUACGGUGAAAGCCGUAAGCCGCAAGGCAUCUGUGAAGGUGCUGCAUGGUUGUCGUCAGCUCGUGCCGUGAGGUGUCGGCUUAAGUGCCAUAACGAGCGCAACCCUUGUUGUCAGUUACUAACAGGUUCCGCUGAGGACUCUGACAAGACUGCCAUCGUAAGAUGUGAGGAAGGUGGGGAUGACGUCAAAUCAGCACGGCCCUUACGUCCGGGGCUACACACGUGUUACAAUGGGGGGUACAGAGGGCCGCUACCACGCGAGUGGAUGCCAAUCCCCAAAACCUCUCUCAGUUCGGACUGGAGUCUGCAACCCGACUCCACGAAGCUGGAUUCGCUAGUAAUCGCGCAUCAGCCACGGCGCGGUGAAUACGUUCCCGGGCCUUGUACACACCGCCCGUCAAGCCAUGGGAGCCGGGGGUACCAGAAGUGCGUAACCGCGAGGAGCGCCCUAGGGUAAA
Molecule: ribosomal RNA, 1437 nt
Filed under: uncultured organism
Description: SSU rRNA
Rfam family: Bacterial small subunit ribosomal RNA
Source: RNAcentral